CACGUGAGUAAUCUACCCCUCACUUCGGGAUAACCGCCGGAAACGGUGGCUAAUACCGAAUACGACGCACUCUCGCAUGGGAUGUGCGUGGAAAGUUUUCUCGGUGAAGGAUGUGCUCGCGGCCUAUCAGCUUGUUGGUGGGGUAACGGCCUACCAAGGCUUCGACGGGUAGCCGGCCUGAGAGGGUGACCGGCCACACUGGGACUGAGACACGGCCCAGACUCCUACGGGAGGCAGCAGUGGGGAAUAUUGGACAAUGGGCGAAAGCCUGAUCCAGCAACGCCGCGUGAGGGAUGACGG
This 300-nucleotide ribosomal RNA is filed under the name uncultured Nocardioidaceae bacterium. RNAcentral's name for it is "bacterial SSU rRNA". It matches the Rfam family "Bacterial small subunit ribosomal RNA", at positions 114 to 414 of the family's 1533-position model. The record is from RNAcentral. Lineage: Bacteria; Bacillati; Actinomycetota; Actinomycetes; Propionibacteriales; Nocardioidaceae.